RNAcentral lists this ribosomal RNA (785 nucleotides) under uncultured Rubrobacter sp. Its description in RNAcentral is "bacterial SSU rRNA". It matches the Rfam family "Bacterial small subunit ribosomal RNA", at positions 8 to 796 of the family's 1533-position model. Lineage: Bacteria; Bacillati; Actinomycetota; Rubrobacteria; Rubrobacterales; Rubrobacteraceae. The record is from RNAcentral.
AGAGUUUGAUCAUGGCUCAGGGUGAACGCUGGCGGCGUGCUUAAGACAUGCAAGUCGAACGGACUUCCUUCGGGGAGUCAGUGGCGCACGGGUGAGUAACACGUAACUGACCUGCCCCAAAGUUGCGAAUAACCCUCCGAAAGGAGGGCUAAGACGCAAUGUGCUGUCCCCUCGUGUGGGGCCAGUAAAGGCUGUGACCGCUUUGGGAUGGGGUUGCGUUCCAUCAGCUUGUUGGUGAGGUAAAGGCUCACCAAGGCGACGAUGCGUAGCUGGUCUGAGAGGAUGAUCAGCCACACUGGGACUGAGACACGGCCCAGACUCCUACGGGAGGCAGCAGCCAGGAAUCUUGGGCAAUGGGCGAAAGCCUGACCCAGCAACACCGUGUGGGCGAUGAAGGCCUUAGGGUCGUAAAGCCCUGUUGAUAGGGACGAAGGGCGAAGGGUUAAUAGCCCCUAGCUUGACGGUACCUUUCGAGGAAGCCCCGGCUAACUACGUGCCAGCAGCCGCGGUAAUACGUAGGGGGCGAGCGUUGUCCGGAAUUAUUGGGCGUAAAGAGCGUGUAGGCGGUUCGGUAAGUCUGCUGUGAAAUCCUGGGGCUCAACCCUGGGCGUGCAGCGGAUACUGCCGGGCUAGAGGGUGGUAGAGGCGAGUGGAAUUCCGAGUGUAGCGGUGAAAUGCGCAGAUAUUCGGAGGAACACCAGUAGCGAAGGCGGCUCGCUGGGCCACACCUGACGCUGAGACGCGAAAGCGUGGGGAGCGAACAGGAUUAGAUACCCCCGUAGUCC